Molecule: ribosomal RNA, 478 nt
Filed under: uncultured bacterium
Lineage: Bacteria
Description: bacterial SSU rRNA
Rfam family: Bacterial small subunit ribosomal RNA
Source: RNAcentral
GAUGAACGCUAGCGAUAGGCCUAACACAUGCAAGUCGAGGGGCAUCACAUGAGGCAGCAAUGCCGAUGGUGGCGACCGGCGCACGGGUGAGUAACACGUAUGCAACCUGCCUUCAACAAGGGGAUAACCCGUUGAAAGACGGACUAAUACCCUAUAACACAGGGGUCCCGCAUGGGAAUAUUUGUUAAAGGACAACCGGUUGAAGAUGGGCAUGCGUUCCAUUAGCUAGUUGGCGGGGUAACGGCCCACCAAGGCAACGAUGGAUAGGGGAACUGAGAGGUUUAUCCCCCACACUGGUACUGAGACACGGACCAGACUCCUACGGGAGGCAGCAGUGAGGAAUAUUGGUCAAUGGACGCAAGUCUGAACCAGCCACGUCGCGUGAAGGAAGACGGCCCUACGGGUUGUAAACUUCUUUUAUACGGGAAUAAAGUGCCCCACGCGUGGGGUUUUGCAUGGGUACCUAUGAAUAAGGAUC